UACGAACUGUGCAAACGUUAUUCGGAAUCACUGGGCUUAAAGGGUGCGUAGGCGGCUUAUCAAGUAGGGUGUGAAAGCCCCCGGCUUAACCGGGGAAUUGCGCCCUAAACUGACGAGCUAGAGUGGGACAGGGGUGUGUGGAACUUCCGGUGGAGCGGUGAAAUGUGUUGAUAUCGGAAGGAACGCCGGUGGCGAAAGCGACACACUGGGUCUCAACUGACGCUGAGGCACGAAAGCCAGGGGAGCGAACGGG
RNAcentral lists this ribosomal RNA (253 nucleotides) under uncultured bacterium. Its description in RNAcentral is "partial 16S ribosomal RNA". It matches the Rfam family "Bacterial small subunit ribosomal RNA", at positions 524 to 776 of the family's 1533-position model. The record is from RNAcentral.